GCAGCCUGAUCCAGCCAUGCCGCGUGCAGGAUGACGGUCCUAUGGAUUGUAAACUGCUUUUGUACGAGAAGAAACACUCCAACGUGUUGGAGCUUGACGGUAUCGUAAGAAUAAGGAUCGGCUAACUCCGUGCCAGCAGCCGCGGUAAUACGGAGGAUCCAAGCGUUAUCCGGAAUCAUUGGGUUUAAAGGGUCCGUAGGCGGUUUAGUAAGUCAGUGGUGAAAGCCCAUCGCUCAACGGUGGAACGGCCAUUGAUACUGCUAAACUUGAAUUAUUAGGAAGUAACUAGAAUAUGUAGUGUAGCGGUGAAAUGCUUAGAGAUUACAUGGAAUACCAAUUGCGAAGGCAGGUUACUACUAAUGGAUUGACGCUGAUGGACGAAAGCGUGGGUAGCGAACAGGAUUAGAUACCCUGGUAGUCCACGCCGUAAACGAUGGAUACUAGCUGUUGGGAGCAAUCUCAGUGGCUAAGCGAAAGUGAUAAGUAUCCCACCUGGGGAGUACGUUCGCAAGAAUGAAACUCAAAGGAAUUGACGGGGGCCCGCACAAGCGGUGGAGCAUGUGGUUUAAUUCGAUGAUACGCGAGGAACCUUACCAAGGCUUAAAUGUAGUUUGACCGAUUUGGAAACAGAUCUUUC
RNAcentral lists this ribosomal RNA (637 nucleotides) under Flavobacterium sp. Ri2Pw_5811. RNAcentral describes it as "bacterial SSU rRNA". It matches the Rfam family "Bacterial small subunit ribosomal RNA", at positions 378 to 1016 of the family's 1533-position model. RNAcentral also lists the same sequence under 1 other name. Lineage: Bacteria; Pseudomonadati; Bacteroidota; Flavobacteriia; Flavobacteriales; Flavobacteriaceae. The record is from RNAcentral.